UACGUGAACGGCGAGUGUUAUUCGGUUUUGUUAGGUGUAAAGUGAACGUAGACUGCUUUAUAAGUUAACGCGUAAAACAGCCAAGUCAAUUGGUUUAGCGUCGUUAAUACUGUAUAGCUAGAAUGAGGAAGGGGUUAACAGAACAACCAAGGUAGUGGUGAAAUACGUUGAUCUUGGUUAGAAUGCCAAAGGUGAAGACAGUUAACCAUUUUUCAUUGACGUUGAUGUUCGAAAGCUAAAGUAUCGAAACGG
RNAcentral lists this ribosomal RNA (252 nucleotides) under uncultured bacterium. RNAcentral describes it as "partial 16S ribosomal RNA". It matches the Rfam family "Bacterial small subunit ribosomal RNA", at positions 524 to 776 of the family's 1533-position model. The record is from RNAcentral.